CCUGACUGCUAUCGGAUUGAUACUAAGCCAUGCGAGUCUUUGUAGUAAUACAAGGCAUACGGCUCAGUAACGCGUAGUCAACCUACCCUAUGGACAAGAAUAAUCUCGGGAAACUGAGCAUAAUUCUUGAUGGAUCAUAAUGCCUGGAAUGGCUUAUGGUUAAAAUGAUUCGUCGCCAUAGGAUGGGACUGCGGCCUAUCAGCUUGUUGGUGAGGUAAUGGCCCACCAAGGCGAUUACAGGUACGGGCUCUGAGAGGAGAAGCCCGGAGAUGGGUACUGAGACAAGGACCCAGGCCCUAUGGGGCGCAGCAGGCGAGAAAACUUUGCAAUGUGCGAAAGCACGACAAGGUUAGUCCGAGUGAUUUCUGCUAAAGAGAUCUUUUGCUAGUUAUAAAACCACUAGUGAAUAAGGGGUGGGCAAGUUCUGGUGUCAGCCGCCGCGGUAAAACCAGCACCUCAAGUGGUCAGGAUGAUUAUUGGGCCUAAAGCAUCCGUAGCCGGCUCUGUAAGUUUUCGGUUAAAUCUAUGCGCUCAACGUAUGGGCUGCCGAAAAUACUGUAGAGAUAGGGAGUGGGAGAGGUAGACGGUACUCGGUAGGAAGGGGUAAAAUCCUUUGAUCUAUCGAUGACCACCUGUGGCGAAGGCGGUCUACCAGAACACGUUCGACGGUGAGGGAUGAAAGCUGGGGGAGCAAACCGGAUUAGAUACCCGGGUAGUCCCAGCUGUAAACGAUGCAGACUCGAUGAUGCAUUGGCAUAUAGCCAGUGCAGUGUCGCAGGGAAGCCGUUAAGUCUGCCGCCUGGGAAGUACGUACGCAAGUAUGAAACUUAAAGGAAUUGGCGGGGGAGCACCACAAGGGGUGAAGCCUGC
Molecule: ribosomal RNA, 870 nt
Filed under: uncultured archaeon
Lineage: Archaea
Description: bacterial SSU rRNA
Rfam family: Archaeal small subunit ribosomal RNA
Source: RNAcentral